This 425-nucleotide ribosomal RNA is filed under the name uncultured bacterium. RNAcentral's name for it is "bacterial SSU rRNA". It matches the Rfam family "Bacterial small subunit ribosomal RNA", at positions 354 to 796 of the family's 1533-position model. The record is from RNAcentral.
GUGGGGAAUAUUGGACAAUGGGCGAAAGCCUGAUCCAGCCAUGCCGCGUGAGUGAUGAAGGCCUUAGGGUUGUAAAGCUCUUUCAGUAGGGAAGAUAAUGACGGUACCUACAGAAGAAGCCCCGGCUAACUUCGUGCCAGCAGCCGCGGUAAUACGAAGGGGGCUAGCGUUGUUCGGAUUUACUGGGCGUAAAGCGCACGUAGGCGGAUUGGUCAGUUAGAGGUGAAAUCCUGGAGCUCAACUCCAGAACUGCCUUUAAUACUGCCAGUCUAGAGUACAGAAGAGGUGAGUGGAACUCCUAGUGUAGAGGUGGAAUUCGUAGAUAUUAGGAAGAACACCAGUGGCGAAGGCGGCUCACUGGUCUGGUACUGACGCUGAGGUGCGAAAGCGUGGGGAGCAAACAGGAUUAGAAACCCCUGUAGUCC